GAUGUAGUGGCUUAGUGGUGGGGUGCUUGCCUGACAUGCAUGAGGGUCUGGGUUCCACCCCCAGUUGCUCA
Molecule: transfer RNA, 71 nt
Filed under: Neotoma lepida (desert woodrat)
Lineage: Eukaryota; Metazoa; Chordata; Mammalia; Rodentia; Cricetidae
Rfam family: tRNA
About the family: Transfer RNA (tRNA) molecules are approximately 80 nucleotides in length.
Source: Rfam by way of RNAcentral